CCUACGGGAGGCAGCAGUGAGGAAUAUUGGUCAAUGGGCGCGAGCCUGAACCAGCCAAGUAGCGUGAAGGAUGACUGCCCUACGGGUUGUAAACUUCUUUUAUAAAGGAAUAAAGUGAGGCACGUGUGCCUUUUUGUAUGUACUUUAUGAAUAAGGAUCGGCUAACUCAGUGCCAGCAGCCGCGGUAAUACGGAGGAUCCGAGCGUUAUCCGGAUUUAUUGGGUUUAAAGGGAGCGUAGUUGGGUUGUUAAGUCAGUUGUGAAAGUUUGGGGCUCAACCGUAAAAUUGCAAUUGAGACUGGCAGGCUUGAGUACCGUAGAGGGGGGUAGAAUUGGAGGUGUAGCGGUGAAAUGUGUAGAGAUCGGGAGGAAUUCCGAUGGCGAAGGCGGCC
This 391-nucleotide ribosomal RNA is filed under the name uncultured bacterium. RNAcentral's name for it is "partial 16S ribosomal RNA". It matches the Rfam family "Bacterial small subunit ribosomal RNA", at positions 338 to 726 of the family's 1533-position model. The record is from RNAcentral.